This 305-nucleotide ribosomal RNA is filed under the name uncultured bacterium. Its description in RNAcentral is "partial 16S ribosomal RNA". It matches the Rfam family "Bacterial small subunit ribosomal RNA", at positions 505 to 807 of the family's 1533-position model. The record is from RNAcentral.
ACAGCAGUCGCCACGGUAAUACGAAGGGGGCUAGCGUUGUUCGGAAUUACUGGGCGUAAAGCGCACGUAGGCGGAUAUUUAAGUCAGGGGUGAAAUCCCAGAGCUCAACUCUGGAACUGCCUUUGAUACUGGGUAUCUUGAGUAUGGAAGAGGUGAGUGGAAUUCCGAGUGUAGAGGUGAAAUUCGUAGAUAUUCGGAGGAACACCAGUGGCGAAGGCGGCUCACUGGUCCAUUACUGACGCUGAGGUGCGAAAGCGUGGGGAGCAAACAGGAUUAGAGACCCGUGUAGUCCCUGUCUCUUAUAC